RNAcentral lists this RNase P RNA (371 nucleotides) under Paracoccus sp. (in: a-proteobacteria). RNAcentral's name for it is "RNase P RNA component class A". It matches the Rfam family "Bacterial RNase P class A". From Rfam's summary of the family: Ribonuclease P (RNase P) is a ubiquitous endoribonuclease, found in archaea, bacteria and eukarya as well as chloroplasts and mitochondria. The record is from RNAcentral. Lineage: Bacteria; Pseudomonadati; Pseudomonadota; Alphaproteobacteria; Rhodobacterales; Paracoccaceae.
GCAGGGGGCUGGAUGGCCGCGGCAGCAAUGCUGAGGAAAGUCCGGACUCCAUAAGGUGACGGUGCCGGGUAACGCCCGGCGGGGGCAACCCCAGGGAAAGCGCCACAGAAAACAAACCGCCUGCGUCCGCGCAGGUAAGGGUGAAACGGUGGGGUAAAAGCCCACCGGGCGGCUGGCAACAGACGCCGCAUGGCAAGCCCCACCGGGAGCAAUGCCGAAUAGGGAUCGCGCGCGGGACACCCGCAGGGCCACCUUGCCCCAGCAGAUCCGGGUAGGCAGCACGAUCCGUCGGGCAACCGCCGGACAAGAUGAAUGGUCAUCCAACCGCCUUGGGCGGGGGACAAAAUCCGGCUUACAGGCCCCCUGCACAG